UAGGAUGUUGAAGAGAGCUGGGAGGAGAUGCCAAGAACACUAGGCUGCUUCCUACCAUCUAGCUUACAGUCCAACAUGUGAGUAACACCAAUACAAAUGAAAAGCCAUCAAAUGUGUCCAAUAGUGAAUAUCAUCCCGGCAGUCUCUGAGCUAGGAGGGAGAGUCCUGGAGAGGUGUUUAUUUUCUGAUAUAAAAAAGUUCUUGAAUAAACAGAAGAAUAAAUGAAAGAAUGACAAAAUGCAAAGGCCUUGAGUCAUGAUAUGCUGCAAAGACAGAAAGAAGACAGGAAUAAGGAGAGAAGAGGAGGCUAAAGAGGCAGGCAGGGGCCAGACCACAUAGGUCCUUGUGAGUAAUUAGAAGGGGCUCUGAUUUUCUUCCAAGAGCAUCAGAAAACUGUUCACCUCUGGAAAGCUUUAGCUUUGCAAUUCCCAACAGGUGACAUAACACUUGGAGAAACACUGAACUCUAUGACCUCUUCCCCGCUAUGUUCUGUGAUGCCCGGAAGUAGAGCUCUGCACUGUUAUUUAAUCCUAUCAAUGUUUGCUCU
Molecule: long non-coding RNA, 547 nt
Filed under: Homo sapiens (human)
Lineage: Eukaryota; Metazoa; Chordata; Mammalia; Primates; Hominidae
Description: non-protein coding lnc-PPP2R2B-4:3
Source: RNAcentral